UUCAUAAAAUGAGUUGUGGUGCCAGUAGAAAGUCUCCUGCUGGUUCUACUAGACUCAAACCAAAUCCCAACUUCUUCAACUCUCCUAGUCAAAGUGAUGGGGUAGGUAAGGAGGGGACUGUACCAGAAUCCUUAUUGAAACAAGUUCGUAAAACGGUUCACUGAACCUGUCAAACAGCCUGGGGUAGGAGGCCGUUGUGUGAGACCAUAUAUAUUAGAGAUAUUAGUUUCAUUUACUCUAUUAUCUAUGGGGCAUUAUUGUUAUUCCUCCUAAACUGUGGAGACUCAAUAUUGAUCCUCCUGAUGGUAGUACUGCUUCAUUUGAUGUUGAUGAGAGAUGGUGGGACCAGGUCGAACUGACUAGACUGGAUCUAUCAUCUAACGAAAUCAAACAAAUAUCUGAAGAUAUUGAAAACUUUAAUUCAUUGUCAGCACUUGAGGUCCAGUACAAUGAGUUAACAUGUCUACCUAAUAAUGUGAUCAAACUGGAUAAACUAUCUAAAAUAUUUGCAAGUCUCUCCUAUAUGUUAGGAAGGUUUGAGUCUCUUCAUUAUCUUCUCUUUGAUGUUCUCCUCUUAAUUAAAUGAAUGAGAGCUGACAUCCUCCGGAAAGGAACAGUAUUGGUCCUCUAGUAUCUCUUGUAUUGAAGAACAAGAGACCACAUGUGACGGCCAACCUCUCCCUCGUCCCUCAAGAUCCCCUCGUGACCAUACAAGUGAGAGAUCAUGUGACUUUUGAUGAUAGUCAUGUGAUGUUGUGUAG
Amphimedon queenslandica is the source of this 761-nucleotide long non-coding RNA. RefSeq lists it as uncharacterized. The record is from RefSeq and is a predicted model, not a curated record. Lineage: Eukaryota; Metazoa; Porifera; Demospongiae; Haplosclerida; Niphatidae. The transcript is spliced from 4 exons.